RNAcentral lists this transfer RNA (82 nucleotides) under Microcella sp. RNAcentral's name for it is "tRNA-Leu". It matches the Rfam family "tRNA". From Rfam's summary of the family: Transfer RNA (tRNA) molecules are approximately 80 nucleotides in length. Lineage: Bacteria; Bacillati; Actinomycetota; Actinomycetes; Micrococcales; Microbacteriaceae. The record is from RNAcentral. RNAcentral also lists the same sequence under 1 other name.
GCGGGAGUGGUGGAAUUGGCAGACACGCAGGAUUUAGGAUCCUGUGCCUUCGGGCGUGAGGGUUCAAGUCCCUCCUUCCGCA